GCCGCGCUGGGAGAGCGCCGGGGGAACGCCGGGAGAACAUCGGGAAAACGCCGGGAGAACACCGGGAAAACGUCGGGAGAACAUCGGGAGAACACCGAGAGAACACCGGGAGAAGACCAAGAAUGCGCCAGAUGAGAAAGUGCGACUGUUGUGCAUAAGAAAAAGGUGUGCCAGAGAGAGACUGACACCUUCAUUGCAGUUACAUUCCUGCAGGAUUUGUGCAAAUCACAGACAGGCCAUCAGCUCUGAGUACAUGAAGACACUCCCAACUUUUUGUAACCUGACAGCCUCUGCUGUUCCUGCCUAA
Molecule: long non-coding RNA, 307 nt
Filed under: Chloebia gouldiae (Gouldian finch)
Lineage: Eukaryota; Metazoa; Chordata; Aves; Passeriformes; Passeridae
Description: Erythrura gouldiae (Gouldian finch) lncRNA (ENSEGOG00005016896.1)
Source: RNAcentral